RNAcentral lists this unclassified non-coding RNA (21 nucleotides) under Chlamydomonas reinhardtii. RNAcentral describes it as "small RNA Cre_1270". Lineage: Eukaryota; Viridiplantae; Chlorophyta; Chlorophyceae; Chlamydomonadales; Chlamydomonadaceae. The record is from RNAcentral.
CGCGGUCAGAGGGCAGCCUCG